Molecule: long non-coding RNA, 3100 nt
Filed under: Sus scrofa (pig)
Lineage: Eukaryota; Metazoa; Chordata; Mammalia; Artiodactyla; Suidae
Description: lncRNA (ENSSSCG00000042491.2)
Source: RNAcentral
AAAAAUUUUGAGGAUUUAAGCCAAGAUACUUAUUCCAUCUUAAUAAUGUUGUGACUUGAUGUUUAUUUUACCUCUAAAUAUUCCCAUAAGUAUCAGGUAAUUGGGCUUUAUUCUAUGGCCUGAAGGCCAGUAUUCCUGAACUUGGUAAAACCAACUGAAAAAAUGAAUUCCAAAGAUGUAAUCUCUCCAUGGAAAAUGUGUUGCUUCCAGUCUUUGGUAUUCACACCUAAGGCCUGUUGGCAGCUGUCCUUUGGCCAGCUGAAGCAGGCAUGCUGCUACAUAAAGGCAGUUUCUAUGGAAACUUGAACCCAAAUGAUAUUGGGACUUUGAAGAUCAAAGGCAACACCCUGAAUUGUUUGGAGAGCCCAGGGAUGGUUUCAGAACUUUAUUGUUCUCCACAGAAAACAUGACAGCCAAGACUUUCAAAUGUUUUCUACUCCAGGUGCAUUAGAACUAUGUGCACAAGAUAUAAGUUUGCAGUUUGUUUGUGAAAUUAUCUGUUCUAAUUAUUUUAUCAGCUAUUUUAUAAUAUCUAUCUCUGCCAUAAAGAAAAUUAUCAUCUUCCAUUUUUUUUUCUCCUCUUUAAUAAAGCAAGAGACCUAGAGAUAUACUAAGCUUGUAAAUUGGUGGCAGAUAAUGAUUCAUCCUUUUCAUAAAUCAUGGAUAAUCUCUUCAGUAUAUCAUUUUUUUACACAAUUCUAUUAAUAUGUACAAAUGGCCCCAUUACCAGAUGUCCACACAGCUGAAUUGUAGCUGUGCCUGUAAAGAUUUGACCUAUAGUAAUGUUCUCUUACUUAAACAUAGUCUUUAAACUGAUUUCCUUGUUUAGUAUUUAUGACAUAAACCCUGUUGUCGCAAACUUAGCAGAAAUUUAAGUACAAGAAAAUAUUUUUCCAUGAAUGUGUUUCCCGAGUACAUUUUGUAUAUAUUUUGUGGAUCUUUUUUGUCUUUUCUAGGGCUGCACCUGAGGCACAUGGAGGUUCCCAGGCUAGGAUCUAAUCGGAGCUGUAGCCUCUGGCCUACACCACAGCCACAGCAACACGGGAUCUGAGCCCUGUCUGCAACCUACACCACAGCUCACAGCAAUGCCGGAUCCUUAACCCACUGAGCAAGGCUAGGGAUCGAACCUGUAACCUCAUGGUUCCUAGUCUGAUUCCUUAACCACUGAGCCACAACGGGAACUCUAAUUUUGUGGAUCUUGAUUUAGAUAUAUUUCUUCUGACAAGUUCCUAUUCUAUAAAAGUUUUGAUGAAUGACAAGGGGGUGUAUUCUUCCUGGCUGAUGGAUAUUGUUAAGAUAAAUUAUCUAAAUUUACCGCAUUUAUCUGUGGGCAUUUGUAUUCUUGGUUUCAAGGGCCAUUGUAGAGUUGGCUGGCUAUAUUAUGCUUAGUUACAGUAUUCAAAAGCAUUAUACUCAAUAUGAAAUAAUGAAAUGAAGACUAGAUAUUACAACUGAUCUGUGCAUAUGAUACAUGGAGAAAGGAGUGGUACAAUUGAAUCUUUCAUGACCUUUUCUUCUCCAAGAAGAACCAAAGUAGUAAAGCCACCUAGACUGUAUUUACUAGAGUCUAAUUCUUCCAACAUUCCUGUAGGGUGAAGGUGCUUUUUUCUACCUCGUAGAAGCACACCUCUGCUCCUUCUCUCUGGAACAGUUCCACAUUGUCUCAGCACCAUUUCCAAGCAGAAAAUGGGAAAGGCAUUAUGGAAGGAGGCAAGCAAAGGCAAGGCAGUGGAUGGACGUGGGAAACUGCCACACACCAUCUCUUGAGGAUACGAAAGGAGACAAGAUUUUAAAAAAAUGUUGCUAAAAAUACGUGCAGGUUUUUAAAAAAGCUGAUUUCAUCUCUGAUUAGUGGCCAAGGCAACAGUCAGUACAGAUUAAAAAGAAGUUGCAUGCAAUGAGAAGGAGAGGGCUGCCAUGUGGCAAGAAACCAAGGCCUCCUGCAAACAGGCAUGUGUAUGAGCCAUCCAAUGGUGGCUCCUUCAGCCCCAGUCAGACCUUCAGGUGAGACAACAGCAUCUGCCAGCAUCAUAACCUCCACCUUAUGAGAGACUCUGAGCCAGAGCUACCCAGGUAAGGCGCCAACUAGCCUUAAGUAGGCACGGUUUUCCAAGUCCUGGCCACUGGUGUCCCUAAGAGAUUUCAGGGAGAAGCAGUUUUGGCAGAGCUUAGAGCCAGAGGCCGGCCAGUGAAGGGAACAAUGUCUGGGUUUUGAGAACAGCUGGAGCUUUGGAGGGAGAAAAGCAGCUUGGCGAAUGAGGAAAGAAUGUGCUUGUCACUUCAAGAGGCGAGAAACUUCGAUUUCCCUCCUGACACUGCCAACAAGUUUCAUUGGAAAGGACAGAGUGGUGGUGAUGGCAGAAAGUGUCUCUUAGGGCUGUUGUUCUUAGAAGAGUGUGAGCGAAGCAGGAACUUGGAAUUUCAUACUCUUUUUCCAGCACAAGUAUGAAGAAAUGAACUAGACGUGAAGAAGUCUGUGAAAAGAAGUCAGUGAACUUCAGGGAAUAUCCUGUGAGCAUCAUCUUCUUUAUUCAGCAACAUUAAGAGCAUCUCCAGUGGGUUCACAUAUAUUUUUUUGAGUGUCUGUUUUCUGUUAAUCAUGGUGAGAACAUUAAGAAUAAUUUUAGAAAUUGGAAACAUUCUUAACUCUGAGAGAUCAUUACUUUGCUCUGCUGUGGUUACAAAUACAGUAAGUUCAACAUAAACACAGCUUAAGAAGUGUCUCAACCACUUCAGAAAUGUAGAAGUAUUUUUUAUAAUCUAGAGUAUUUAAUUAAUCAAAACUUCUAUUCCCCUAGUAUUCUGAGUAAUCAAUAUUUUCAUUUGUGAGUUUCAGAUGAAGAAUUAUUUGCACAAUGACAUAUCUGGGUUUUUUAAUACACUUUCUUCUGAAUCUUUCUUUAGUGUGAUGUGAGGUAUACAUGAGAAGUGUGCAUUUAAAUAGUCACAGUAAUGAUUGUAAUGAAUUCCAAGUGAGGACCGCAUGCUCUAAUUCCCAUGAAUUGAGGGGUAAUAUUUUUAUGUUAUCGUUUUCUAUAAUAAAACCUAAAAGCAGGUGCACAUGUCUGGCAAUUUAAAAGUUUCAAUAAAUUAAUAUUUG